UACCGUGGCCGUGACGGGUGACGGGGGAUUAGGGUCCGACUCCGGAGAGGCAGCCUGAGAGACGGCUACCAGACCUAAGGGUCGCAGCAGGCGCGCAAAUUGCCCAAUCCUAACACAGGGAGGCAGUGAAGGGGCAUAACAAUGCCGCGCCCUUUCGGGUGCGGCAAUUGGAAUGAGUCAGUCGCAAAAGACCGAACGAAGACCACGCGAGGGCAAGUCUGGUGCCAGCAGCCGCGGUAAUUCCAGCUCGCGUAGUGAAUGCUAAAAUUGCUGCAGUUAAAACGCUCGUAGUUGGAGGUGUGGUUUUUUUUAAAGAGGGGCUAUUUUCUUUGCGCGUUGAUUCGCGCGAUGUAGGGUCGACUCUCGCCUUCAGGGACGAAAUCGGGGUAGAACCUGAUUUCAUUAGUCCCCUUUUACUUUGAACAAAUUAGAGUGUUUCAAGCAGGCAGUAAUGCUUCUGAAUACAUUAGCAUGGGAUAAUGAGAUAGGACUUUGGUCUCUGUUUCGUUGGCUCUCCAGGACCGAAGUAAUGAUCGAUAGGGACAGUUGGGGGUGCUAGAAUUUAACGGCCAGAGGUGAAAUUCUUGGAUUCGUUAAAGACUAACCAAUGCGAAAGCAUUCACCAAGGAUGUCUUCUUUAAUCAAGAACGAAAGUAGGGGGAUCGAAGUGGAUCAGAUACCCACGUAGUCUCUACCGUAAACGAUACCGACCAGGGAUGAGGGGUGAAAACGGUGUAACCUCUGCGCGUGGCGACACGCGCGGAAACGCCCCCCUUCGCACCUUGUGAGAAAUCAAAAGUAAUCAGGUUCUGGGGGGAGUAUGUUUGCAAGAAUGAAACUUAAAGGAAUUGACGGAAGGGCACACCAGGAGUGGAGCCUGCGGCUUAAUUUGACCCAACACGGGGAAACUUACCAGGUCCAGACAUAGUGAGGAUUGACAGAUUGAAGAUCUUUCUUGAUUCUAUGGUUGGUGGUGCAUGGCCGUUCUUAGUUGGUGGAGUGAUUUGUCUGGUUUAUUCCGUUAACGAACGAGACCUCGACCUGCUAAAUAGGGGGGGCCACUGUGGGGGGUCUCUUUUGGUCCCUGACUGUGUGGCUUAAGCUGCCCCCUUCUUAGAGGGACAAUCGGUGUGUAGCCGGUGGAAGUUCGAGGCAAUAACAGGUCUGUGAUGCCCUUAGAUGUUCUGGGCCGCACGCGCGCUACACUGACGCGUUCAUCGAGCUCAAUCUAUUCGUGUGCCUGGGCCGAGAGGCUUUGGGGAAUCUAUUGAAAGCGCGUCGUGAUGGGGAUAGACUAUUGCAAUUAUUGGUCUUCAACGAGGAAUUCCUAGUAAACGCGCGUCAUCAGCGCGCAUUGAUUACGUCCCUGCCCUUUGUACACACCGCCCGUCGCUACUACCGAUUGAAUGUCUUAGUGAGUUGGGGGGAGGGCGGAGCUGGUGGCGACACUGCUUUGCCGCGAACCUCUUCAAACUUGAACAUUUAGAGGAAGUAAAAGUCGUAACAAGGUU
RNAcentral lists this ribosomal RNA (1511 nucleotides) under metagenome. RNAcentral describes it as "SSU rRNA". It matches the Rfam family "Eukaryotic small subunit ribosomal RNA", at positions 342 to 1801 of the family's 1831-position model. The record is from RNAcentral.